Molecule: long non-coding RNA, 653 nt
Organism: Rhododendron vialii
Lineage: Eukaryota; Viridiplantae; Streptophyta; Magnoliopsida; Ericales; Ericaceae
Exons: 3
Source: RefSeq, a predicted model, not a curated record
CUCUCAGUUUCCCUCCUUUUCUCAUCUCUAUUUCAAUAAGUAGAUUCAUUGUUGGGUUUUUCUGAGAAUUUUCAUCCUCCUAACAUCAAGACAAGGGAUGGAUGCGCGGAAAAAUGCAUAUUUCACAAAUCUCUUACAAGAUGGUUUGAUCUUAGAAGAUGAACUCUCAAUGGAGCCUCAAGAUGAAGUUGGAUUUACUUAUGCAAAUCAAAAUGCAGAAGAGUUCACCCAACCAUCUCAAACCUCAACUCAAAUGGGAUCCACUUCUAAGAAACCGCAACGUGGUGGCAACUUCAUCGAUGAAGAAGACAAAUUGCUUGUAUCGGCAUAUCUGAAUAUAAGCUUGGAUGCCGUGCAAGGGAAUGACCAGAAACGUAAAACAUAUUGAGAAGAGUGUGGGAUUAUUUCCACGAGCACAAGUCUUUCAUUUCUGAGCGUAAUGAGAACUCUCUAAUGAACAGGUGGUCAGCGAUUCAACUUUCUGUUAACAAGUUCUGUGGAUGCUAUGCUCAAAUUGAAUUGAGGCAUCAAAGUGGUGUGACCGAGGAAGACAAGGUCUCUGAAGCAAAAACUUACUACAAGUCACUCAAUACCUCAAAAAAUAGCUCAUUUCAGUUUGAACACUGUUGGAAACAGUUGAGGUACCAACCAAA